Pelobates cultripes (western spadefoot toad) is the source of this 281-nucleotide non-coding RNA. The record is from the annotation of a GenBank genome assembly. Lineage: Eukaryota; Metazoa; Chordata; Amphibia; Anura; Pelobatidae.
GAAACAGUGUGGACAAAGGGGCACAUACAUACACCUAUGGUGGCACUGCCCCAAACUGACCCCACUGUGGAUAAAGGUGGCCUCACAAGUCUCAGAGCUCCUACAAACCACCAUCCCACUAGAUCCAUGGAUGUGGCUCCUCUCCAGGCCACAUGAGGACCUGUCCAGAGCCCAAAACAAAAUGAUGCACAGGAUAGCCCUGGCGACGAGACGUGCGGUGGCAGAACUCUGGGGGACACCCAACGUCCCCACACUACAAACAAUCAUACGCAAAACCAGGG